Molecule: ribosomal RNA, 243 nt
Filed under: Escherichia coli
Lineage: Bacteria; Pseudomonadati; Pseudomonadota; Gammaproteobacteria; Enterobacterales; Enterobacteriaceae
Also listed under: 2 other names
Description: partial 23S ribosomal RNA
Rfam family: Bacterial large subunit ribosomal RNA
Source: RNAcentral
GACGCAUCACUGGUGUUCGGGUUGUCAUGCCAAUGGCACUGCCCGGUAGCUAAAUGCGGAAGAGAUAAGUGCUGAAAGCAUCUAAGCACGAAACUUGCCCCGAGAUGAGUUCUCCCUGACCCUUUAAGGGUCCUGAAGGAACGUUGAAGACGACGACGUUGAUAGGCCGGGUGUGUAAGCGCAGCGAUGCGUUGAGCUAACCGGUACUAAUGAACCGUGAGGCUUAACCUUACAACGCCGAAG